ACUAUUAAAAUAUCGAUAAUUUUGCUAUAAGCGGCCAGCAUCCUUUUAAUCACUAUGUUUAUACAGUGGUUUAGGACAAUAAAAAUAGGCUAUUUCAAUAUGAUCCAUAAAGGACUACGUCCGUUAGUACUCUGUGGUCCAUCAGGCUCUGGAAAAAGUACUCUGAUAAAGCGAUUGUUCGAUGAAUUUCCCGAUACGUUCAAAUAUUCGGUGUCUCAUACAACUAGAAUGCCACGGUCUGGUGAAGAGGAUGGGAUUCACUAUCAUUUCACAAACAAAGAAAAAAUGCAAGAACAAAUAGAAAAUGGGGAGUUUAUUGAAACUGCUACAUUUAGCGGGAAUCUAUAUGGAACGAGCAAACAAGCAGUUGAAGAUGUACAAAAUUUAGGAAAAAUAUGCGUGUUAGAUAUUGACAUACAAGGUGUAAAACAAAUAAAACGCAUCGAUCUGAAUCCCUUUUACAUAUUUAUAAAACCACCAUCUAUUAUGGAAUUGGAACAACGAUUAAAGGCUAGAAACACAGAAACUGAAGAAUCUUUGAAACGUAGAUUAUUAAUUGCCAAAUCUGAAUUAGAAUAUGGUGAAACACCUGGUAACUUUGACAUUGUCAUAGAAAAUGAUGAUUUGGAAGAAGCAUAUCAGAUUUUACACAAUUUUGUGGUGUCCAAUUAUAAUCCACAUCGCCGUACAGGUGAAUCAAAUGUUUCCCGUUUCUUUUGACGAGACAAGAAGCUAGUUGAGAAUUGAAAUCUAAUGGAUCCUUGGAUGUGACUCAUAUUUGGACAUGAAUAACGAAUUGUUUCCGAUGACAUUUUCGUAACUUACUAUUUCGGACAUAUCUGAUAAACAUGUAAUUAAAAGAGAUUGCCAGCUCUUAUAGCAUAUUCCACACUUUUGCAUUAAGCCCGAUCUGAUUUUAAAACAAGCAAAUGAUAAAAAUAAUCUGGUGGAUGAAAGAUAGAAGGAAUAUCUUUAUUCGCCUAAUUAAUACAUAACGUAUAGCAGCUGAUUUUUUUUUUAUCAAAUAAGAAAUCUAUUUUUUAAUAGGGAUAUGAAGUGUUUUUUCGCACUAAGAUAAGAAUUUUAGCUUAAUGUUCAAGAAGUAAUUCACAGAAAUAAAACGUAAAAUUGUAGAUGUAGAUAACUGAGACUAUUCACCAAAAAAGGUUGUGUUCCAGUAGAGUAGACUAUGUGUAAAAUACUUGCGGUUUCAUCUUCGUAUUUAUCUUCAUGAUCGAUAUAGAAGCGUCGGAAUGUAGUUAUUUCUGGUUUAUAUUACGAUAUAUUGGAUUUCAUACAAGCAUCACUAUGUAGAAUUAAGAUUAUAAAAAGAAUUCUGUAAACAUUCCUAUAAUAUUUUUAUGAUAAAUAAUAAGAUUGUGCAGAAAAUAUCUAAAAUUUGAUACGCUUGUUUCCAUUGUGCAUACAAUUCGAAGCCUGUAAUUAUUUCUUAGCUGGAUAAUUGAUAAGAUUAUAUAUAAAAUAUAUAUUUACUGAGUAAUCUAUAUUAAUAUAGAAAAAUGAUUGAAUCGAGUAGGCUAAGUUGCAUUAAUAAUCUUAUUAAACUGAAUACACCUUUAUAUAUAGUAAAUAGCAUAUUAGACAGAGAGAAAAUCUCUUUACUUUUAAAAUUAACUGAUGUAAUUAAUAACUCUUAAAAAUAAGUCACAGA
Molecule: unclassified non-coding RNA, 1672 nt
Filed under: Acromyrmex echinatior (Panamanian leafcutter ant)
Lineage: Eukaryota; Metazoa; Arthropoda; Insecta; Hymenoptera; Formicidae
Description: guanylate kinase, transcript variant X1
Source: RNAcentral